AGUCGGGAAAUGCGUUGGGGAGCAAGCAGAUAGAUACCUUGGUAGUCAACGCCAGUAAACGAUGAGUGCUAAGUGUUAAGGGGGUUUCCGCCCCUUAGUGCUGCAGCUAACGCAUUAAAGCACUCCGCCGUGGGAGUACGGUCGCAAGACUGAAACUCAAAGGAAUUGACGAGGGCCCGCACAAGCGGUGGAGCAUGUGGUUUAAUUCGAAGUGACGCGAAGAACCUUACCAGGUCUUGACAUCCCGUUGACCACUGUAGAGAUAUGGUUUUCCCUCCGGGGACAACGGUGACAGGUGGUGCAUGGUUGUCGUCAGCUCGUGUCGUGAGAUGUCGGGUUAAGUCCCGCAACGAGCGCAACCCUUGAUCUUAGUUGCCAUCAUUUAGUUGGGCACUCUAAGGUGACUGCCGGUGACAAACCGGAGGAAGGUGGGGAUGACGUCAAAUCAUCAUGCCCCUUAUGACCUGGGCUACACACGUGCUACAAUGGACGAUACAAACGGUUGCCAACUCGCGAGAGGGAGCUAAUCCGAUAAAGUCGUUCUCAGUUCGGAUUGUAGGCUGCAACUCGCCUACAUGAAGCCGGAAUCGCUAGUAAUCGCGGAUCAGCAUGCCGCGGUGAAUACGUUCCCGGGCCUUGUACACACCGCCCGUCACACCACGAGAGUUUGUAACACCCGAAGUCGGUGAGGUAACCUUUUGGAGCCAGCCGCCGAAGGUGGGAUAGAUGAUUGGGGUGAAGUCGUAACAAGGUAACC
Molecule: ribosomal RNA, 757 nt
Filed under: uncultured Bacillus sp.
Lineage: Bacteria; Bacillati; Bacillota; Bacilli; Caryophanales; Bacillaceae
Description: bacterial SSU rRNA
Rfam family: Bacterial small subunit ribosomal RNA
Source: RNAcentral